GAUGAACGCUGGCGGCGUGCUUAACACAUGCAAGUCGAACGGAAAGGCUCCUGUUUGCUGGGGUACUCGAGUGGCGAACGGGUGAGUAACACGUGGGUAAUCUGCCCUGGACUUCGGGAUAAGCCCGGGAAACUGGGGCUAAUACCGGAUAGGACGAUGGUCUGGAUGGUGUUGUGUGAAAAGUUUCGGCGGGUGGGGAUGGAGUCGCGGCUUAUCAGCUUGGUGGUGGGGUAGGGGCUUACCAAGGCUUUGACGGGUAGCCGGCCUGAGAGGGUGACCGGCCACAUUGGGACUGAGAUACGGCCCAGACUCCUACGGGAGGCAGCAGUGGGGAAUAUUGCACAAUGGGCGGAAGCCUGAUGCAGCAACGCCGCGUGCGGGAUGACGGCCUUCGGGUUGUAAACCGCUUUCGCCUGUGACGAAGCGUGAGUGACGGUAAUGGGUAAAGAAGCACCGGCUAACUACGUG
This 468-nucleotide ribosomal RNA is filed under the name uncultured bacterium. RNAcentral describes it as "partial 16S ribosomal RNA". It matches the Rfam family "Bacterial small subunit ribosomal RNA", at positions 28 to 507 of the family's 1533-position model. The record is from RNAcentral.